ACGAACGCUGGCGGCGUGCUUCACACAUGCAAGUCGAACGGAAAGGCCCCUUUGGGGGUACUCGAGUGGCGAACGGGUGAGUAACACGUGAGUAACCUGCCCUUGACUUCGGGAUAACUUCAGGAAACUGGGGCUAAUACCGGAUAGGAAUCCUUGCUGCAUGGUGGGGGUUGGAAAGCUUCGGCGGUUUUGGAUGGACUCGCGGCUUAUCAGCUUGUUGGUGGGGUAGUGGCUUACCAAGGCUUUGACGGGUAGCCGGCCUGAGAGGGCGACCGGCCACAUUGGGACUGAGAGACGGCCCAGACUCCUACGGGAGGCAGCAGUGGGGAAUAUUGCACAAUGGGCGGAAGCCUGAUGCAGCAACGCCGCGUGCGGGAGGACGGCCUUCGGGUUGUAAACCGCUUUCAGCAGGGGCGAAGCUUGUGGUGACGGUACCUGCAGAAGAAGCACCGGCUAACUACGUG
This 464-nucleotide ribosomal RNA is filed under the name uncultured bacterium. RNAcentral describes it as "partial 16S ribosomal RNA". It matches the Rfam family "Bacterial small subunit ribosomal RNA", at positions 29 to 507 of the family's 1533-position model. The record is from RNAcentral.